GCCUGGGUGGCUCAGUCGGUUGAGCAACUGACUUCGGCUCAGGUCAUGAUCUCACGGUUCGUGGGUUUGAGCUCCGCAUCAGGCU
Transfer RNA from Felis catus (domestic cat), 85 nucleotides. It matches the Rfam family "tRNA". From Rfam's summary of the family: Transfer RNA (tRNA) molecules are approximately 80 nucleotides in length. Their secondary structure includes four short double-helical elements and three loops (D, anti-codon, and T loops). The record is from Rfam. NCBI's taxonomy places the organism in Eukaryota, Metazoa, Chordata, Mammalia, Carnivora, Felidae.